This 250-nucleotide ribosomal RNA is filed under the name uncultured bacterium. RNAcentral describes it as "partial 16S ribosomal RNA". It matches the Rfam family "Bacterial small subunit ribosomal RNA", at positions 103 to 354 of the family's 1533-position model. The record is from RNAcentral.
CGGGUGAGUAACGCGUGGGUAACCUGCCUCAUACAGGGGAUAACAGUUAGAAAUGACUGCUAAUACCGCAUAAGCGCACAGAAUCGCAUGAUUCGGUGUGAAAAACUCCGGUGGUAUGAGAUGGACCCGCGUCUGAUUAGCUAGUUGGUGGGGUAAAGGCCUACCAAGGCGACGAUCAGUAGCCGACCUGAGAGGGUGAUCGGCCACAUUGGGACUGAGACACGGCCCAAACUCCUACGGAAGGCAGCAG